This 429-nucleotide ribosomal RNA is filed under the name Chloroflexota bacterium. Its description in RNAcentral is "Chloroflexi bacterium partial 16S ribosomal RNA". It matches the Rfam family "Bacterial small subunit ribosomal RNA", at positions 355 to 776 of the family's 1533-position model. The record is from RNAcentral. Lineage: Bacteria; Bacillati; Chloroflexota.
UGGGGAAUAUUGCACAAUGGGCGCAAGCCUGAUGCAGCCAUGCCGCGUGUGUGAAGAAGGCCUUCGGGUUGUAAAGCACUUUCAGCGGGGAGGAAGGCGAUAAGGUUAAUAACCUUGUCGAUUGACGUUACCCGCAGAAGAAGCACCGGCUAACUUCGUGCCAGCAGCCGCGGUAAUACGGAGGGUGCAAGCGUUAAUCGGAAUUACUGGGCGUAAAGCGCACGCAGGCGGUCUGUCAAGUCGGAUGUGAAAUCCCCGGGCUUAACCUGGGAACUGCAUUCGAAACGGGCAGGCUAGAGUCUUGUAGAGGGGGGUAGAAUUCCAGGUGUAGCGGUGAAAUGCGUAGAGAUCUGGAGGAAUACCGGUGGCGAAGGCGGCCCCCUGGACAAAGACUGACGCUCAGGUGCGAAAGCGUGGGGAGCAAACAGG